AUUGAACGCUGGCGGCAGGCCUAACACAUGCAAGUCGAACGAGUGGCGGACGGGUGAGUAAUGUCUGGGAAACUGCCUGAUGGAGGGGGAUAAAUACUGGAAACGGUAGCUAAUACCGCAUACCAUCGGAUGUGCCCAGAUGGGAUUCGCUAGUAGGUGGGGUAAAGGCUCACCUAGGCGACGAUCCCUAGCUGGUCUGAGAGGAGGACCAGCAAAAUGGGAACUUAGACACGGUCCAGACUCCUACGUGAGGAAGCAGUGGGGAAUAUUGCACAAGGGGCGCAAGCCUGAUGCAGCCAUGCCGCGGGUAGGAAGAAGGCCUUGGGUUUUUAAAGUACUUUCAGCGGGGAGGCGUUACCCGCAGAAGAAGCACCGGCUAACUCCGUGCCAGCAGCCGCGGUAAUAC
RNAcentral lists this ribosomal RNA (406 nucleotides) under uncultured bacterium. RNAcentral describes it as "partial 16S ribosomal RNA". It matches the Rfam family "Bacterial small subunit ribosomal RNA", at positions 30 to 526 of the family's 1533-position model. The record is from RNAcentral.